RNAcentral lists this ribosomal RNA (516 nucleotides) under uncultured bacterium. RNAcentral's name for it is "bacterial SSU rRNA". It matches the Rfam family "Bacterial small subunit ribosomal RNA", at positions 28 to 526 of the family's 1533-position model. The record is from RNAcentral.
GAUGAACGCUGGCGGCGUGCCUAAUACAUGCAAGUCGUACGAACAGCGGAAAGUGCUUGCACUUUCCAAGUAAGUGGCGAACGGGUGAGUAACACGUGAAUAACCUACCUCAAAGACUGGGAUAACCAUUGGAAACAGUGACUAAUACCGGAUAAAACCCAGUAGCACAUGCUACAAGGUUAAAAGCUGCGUUUGCAGCGCUUUAAGAUGGAUUCGCGGUGCAUUAGUUAGUUGGUGAGGUAAAGGCUCACCAAGACAAUGAUGCAUAGCCGAGUUGAGAGGGUGAUCGGCCACAUUGGGACUGAGACACGGCCCAAACUCCUACGGGAGGCAGCAGUAGGGAAUCUUCGGCAAUGGACGAAAGUCUGACCGAGCAACGCCGCGUGAGUGAAGAAGGUUUUCGGAUCGUAAAGCACUGUUGUAUGGGAAGAAAUGCUAAAAUAGGGAAUGAUUUUAGUUUGACGGUACCAUACCAGAAAGGGACGGCUAAAUACGUGCCAGCAGCCGCGGUAAAAC